UGAUGUGGCUGUGUCCCUGUAGUUGGCCGUUUUUAUCGAGUUGUUUAACUAUUAUCACAACCCAAUUUUAAAACCUUCCGGUUGCCUCUUGCCCAUGUGCAGUCCACUCCCUUUACCCCUCCAGUCCCUGGAAACCGUUAUUCUACUUUAUAGGCUCAUAUAAUUUAGGUUUUUGUGCUGCUGAGAGAACUCAAGUACAGCUCGAUGUCUCUCCCCAGCUAGGUCGACACACGCCUCAUCCACCUUGGACUUGUGUUCUUCUGCCGUAAACCAAGGUGUCUUGGAAACCCCAGUUGAACCGUCUCACUGAGGAUUCCUGAUGGAGUAAAGCCACAUCCUCGAAGCAACCAACAUACCCCAUAAAUGAGCUCAUGUCCUCCUCAUCUACAGCGGUACCAGCUAUGUGGUGAGUGGUUUUGUUCUGCCACUGGCUCCUGCCAUGAUGUGCUGCACAGGUGCCAAGCAGUGGGGCCAACCAACUCACCAUGCACCUCCCAAACUGAGCCAGAAUAAGCCUUGCUCUUGGUGUGCCCCCCAAAAGUCUCUUGCCUGGAUCCUGCCCCGAUCAGCCGUGUGACUCUGGAUCAGCCGUUUUGCUUCAACAGGCUCCAGCUCCUUCAUCUGGGAAGGAAGGUGUUGGGCCAUGUGGGGCGAAGGCCUCUGGAGACGGAUUUGAUUCUCCAAAUCUUUUUUCGAUUCAUUAUUUAGACAGUUGGUCACUUCUGCUCAUCGAAGCCGCCGGGGGAGCGAGGAAGGCCAGCUGGUGGCGAAUGGCUGCCCCAAUGUUUUGUUGCCUGGCUGGCAUCCUUUUGAAGAGGAGACUAGGACAGAGACACACACAGAGGGACACCACCAUCUACAAGCCAGGGACAGAGAAACCCGCCUGCUGAUGCUUGAUCUCAGACUUGCAGCCCCCAGAAUGGAAAGGAAACACCUGCCACCCUCCACGGCCACCCAGGCUGAGCGCUUUGCUAUGACGUUCCUGGGGCCGAGCGCCAGCCUCACCAGAGCUCUGCCCUCCCGCCGCCCCGCUUCUCCUGGAGUGUCCUGACUCUGCCUCCCUAGGGGAUCUCACUUUGACUCCGUUGUUUUCAUCUGUCCUGUCGUUCUCCUUCUUUUCCUUUGGAUUUGUCUCAGAGCUGGAAUAAUUCUGUAGAGAAAACUCCCCUCACCACCUUUGGUUACCGGGAAGUCCUAUUUGUGUAGGAAAAGUGGAAUAAAAGUGCCCGACUCGCCCUCCGCCUUUGCCAUCUUCAACAUCACGAUGGGAAUGAUCCUUAGUGAUCCGUAGCAUUUUCUGACUGCGAUGAAGGGAUUUUAAGAGUGUUCUUGGCAAGUCACGGGCAUGAAUAGACUUCAUACACGUCCGACGACUGCAGUUAUCCCUGCGGAUGUUCAGUCCCCCUCUUUGGUGGAGGGAGGUGGACAAGAGGCCUCUUGGACUCAGCUGGCAUGACUCUGGCAGGCUUGGCUUUCUUCAACAGACAUUACAGUUCCUCGUGGACAUUUCUGGCCCAAACCCUUAGCUGGCCAUUCCUUCCAGGUCCCUGGUCAUUUUGGGGAAAUGGUAUUUAGACACAAUUCAGGUGCUGGGGGGGUGCUCACUGUCAUCAUGGUGAUUUUUGUUAUUUGGACUUUUCAAUAGUCAGAGGCAGGAAAUGCAAACAUAAAGUACAAAGACUACAUUCCUCAUGAAUCCAACUGCCACUUGUAAUUCAAAUUCCAUAUAUAUAUAAAGCUUUUCCUCUCUCUUAUUUUGGGGGUGGUGGGAUAGGGUACCGGGGAUUGAACUCAGGGGCUCUCAACCACUGAGC
Ictidomys tridecemlineatus (thirteen-lined ground squirrel) is the source of this 1814-nucleotide long non-coding RNA. RefSeq lists it as uncharacterized. NCBI's taxonomy places the organism in Eukaryota, Metazoa, Chordata, Mammalia, Rodentia, Sciuridae. The record is from RefSeq and is a predicted model, not a curated record.